UACGUAGGGUGCAAGCGUUAAUCGGAAUUACUGGGCGUAAAGCGUACGCAGGCGGCUUUGCAAGACAGGUGUGAAAGCCCCGGGCUCAACCUGGGAACUGCAUUGGAAACUGGCGAGCUUGAGUAUGGCAGAGGGGGGUGGAAUUCCGCGUGUAGCAGUGAAAUGCGUAGAGAUGCGGAGGAACACCGAUGGCGAAGGCAGCCCCCUGGGCCAAUACUGACGCUCAGGCACGAAAGCGUGGGGAGCAAACAGG
Molecule: ribosomal RNA, 253 nt
Filed under: uncultured prokaryote
Description: partial 16S ribosomal RNA
Rfam family: Bacterial small subunit ribosomal RNA
Source: RNAcentral